RNAcentral lists this ribosomal RNA (765 nucleotides) under uncultured Streptococcus sp. RNAcentral's name for it is "bacterial SSU rRNA". It matches the Rfam family "Bacterial small subunit ribosomal RNA", at positions 28 to 776 of the family's 1533-position model. Lineage: Bacteria; Bacillati; Bacillota; Bacilli; Lactobacillales; Streptococcaceae. The record is from RNAcentral.
GACGAACGCUGGCGGCGUGCUAAUACAUGCAAGUAGAACGCUGAAGGAGGAGCUUGCUUCUCUGGAUGAGUUGCGAACGGGUGAGUAACGCGUAGGUAACCUGCCUGGUAGCGGGGGAUAACUAUUGGAAACGAUAGCUAAUACCGCAUAACAGUAGAUGUUGCAUGACAUUUGCUUAAAAGGUGCAAUUGCAUCACUACCAGAUGGACCUGCGUUGUAUUAGCUAGUUGGUGGGGUAACGGCUCACCAAGGCGACGAUACAUAGCCGACCUGAGAGGGUGAUCGGCCACACUGGGACUGAGACACGGCCCAGACUCCUACGGGAGGCAGCAGUAGGGAAUCUUCGGCAAUGGACGGAAGUCUGACCGAGCAACGCCGCGUGAGUGAAGAAGGUUUUCGGAUCGUAAAGCUCUGUUGUAAGAGAAGAACGAGUGUGAGAGUGGAAAGUUCACACUGUGACGGUAUCUUACCAGAAAGGGACGGCUAACUACGUGCCAGCAGCCGCGGUAAUACGUAGGUCCCGAGCGUUGUCCGGAUUUAUUGGGCGUAAAGCGAGCGCAGGCGGGUUAGAUAAGUCUGAAGUUAAAGGCUGUGGCUUAACCAUAGUACGCUUUGGAAACUGUUUAACUUGAGUGCAAGAGGGGGAGAGUGGAAUUCCAUGUGUAGCGGUGAAAUGCGUAGAUAUAUGGAGGAACACCGGUGGCGAAAGCGGCUCUCUGGCUUGUAACUGACGCUGAGGCUCGGAAAGCGUGGGGAGCAAACAGG